UACGUAGGGGGCGAGCGUUGUCCGGAUUUAUUGGGCGUAAAGAGCGCGCAGGCGGUCGAUCAAGUCGAGUGUGAAAGCCCCCGGCUCAACUGGGGAGGGUCAUUCGAUACUGAUCGACUCGAAGGCAGGAGAGGGUAGUGGAAUUCCCGGUGUAGUGGUGAAAUGCGUAGAUAUCGGGAGGAACACCAGUGGCGAAGGCGGCUCACUGGGUCUUUUCUGACGCUGAGGAACGAAAGCUAGGGGAGCAAACGGG
RNAcentral lists this ribosomal RNA (253 nucleotides) under uncultured bacterium. RNAcentral's name for it is "partial 16S ribosomal RNA". It matches the Rfam family "Bacterial small subunit ribosomal RNA", at positions 524 to 776 of the family's 1533-position model. The record is from RNAcentral.